UUGUUGACAAAAGUCAAGGAAUGCAAAAAGACACUGCCAAAAAAUUAAACGAUUGGUUAUUAAUGUAAGGAUGAGUGUUGUAGAAAACAAACAAAUGAAUAACCGCCAAAGAGGGGCUUAAGAAGAAAAUUCGAUGGAUGCGGCGAGGGGCUAAUCUAUUUAUGAAAGUAUCUUUUAUGGGCCUAUAUUUUUGGAGUAGGUGUUAAAGGUCAUAAGUGUACUUCACAUACUAAAUUUCAGCCAAUUCUAAUCAAACCUGAGGCUCCAGGAAAGAAAGCUCUCGAAAAGAUAUAUAACCCAUACAAGACACUGAUACUGCCCAUUUUGUCAUGCGAUUUCGAAUCAUGGGUACAUGCGAAAGUAGACGAGGGAGUAACUGGAGUGUUUGGGAGAAAGAUUCUUUGUAAAAUCUAUGGAACAAUCUGCAAUGGGAUAUCGGUCUCAUAUGAACAAGAGCUGUAUUACAUCGUUGGCGUAGUUAAACAUAUCAAAAUACAAGGAAUACGUUGACCAGAUCAUGUUGUUAUACUAAAUGAAGAAGCCCCCGUUGAGAAGUCUUUCAAAAACAGUCCGGAUUGUUAAAGCACGAAUAGAAGACCAAAACUUCGAUGGAGAGACCUAAUGGAAAAAGACUUCUCGCUACAAAUUGCUAUUGAAAAAGGAACACAAAACACGGAGGCGGCUGAAAACCUAUUCAAAGUUCUGCGGCGGUAUGAAAUUUGGCCCCGGGGUCCUGUUUUCAUGCAGCUAUUGAGGCCAAUUUGGAGUUUCCUCAAGUUAUUUUGAACUUUUCCAAUUAAAUUUCAAAUUAAAAUAAGAGUUGUGAACAAAAAGAAAUGAAACCUGACAAAUAAAUAAAUAAAUCUAAAUAAAAUGUA
Molecule: long non-coding RNA, 878 nt
Organism: Stomoxys calcitrans (stable fly)
Lineage: Eukaryota; Metazoa; Arthropoda; Insecta; Diptera; Muscidae
Exons: 2
Source: RefSeq, a predicted model, not a curated record